ACCCAAAGGGAGCUUGAAGAGUGGUAGCCAAAAAGAAAGGAGAGAAACACCUUGGGAUGAAGCUUUGAUUUGGUUGCAAUUUUUGGCUUUGUAAUCUUUCUUUUCUUUUUCUCUUUUAACUCAUGACCUUGUUAGGUGUCUUAGGGGAGUCUUUGGUUCUCAAUCCCAUCUCCUAACAAGAACCUUUAUCUCUUAGUAAAUUGUGUUUUUAGUUGGUUGGUUGAAGGAACCAAAGUUCUUCUAACUUAA
RNAcentral lists this long non-coding RNA (249 nucleotides) under Vigna radiata. Its description in RNAcentral is "long non-coding RNA (VRAD_LNC003491)". Lineage: Eukaryota; Viridiplantae; Streptophyta; Magnoliopsida; Fabales; Fabaceae. The record is from RNAcentral.